This 249-nucleotide long non-coding RNA is filed under the name Trifolium pratense (red clover). Its description in RNAcentral is "long non-coding RNA (TPRA_LNC008681)". The record is from RNAcentral. Lineage: Eukaryota; Viridiplantae; Streptophyta; Magnoliopsida; Fabales; Fabaceae.
CCAGUGUUUUAAAAACCGGACCGGACCGGCCGGUCCGACCGGUUGAACCGGGAAUCGGAGGUGCACCGGUCUGGUCCGGAUGUCGGAUCGGAUAAGCUAUUGAACCAGAGGAAACCGGUAAAACCGGUGAAAACCGGUGAAAACCGGUGAACCGGCGGUUUUGAAAAACCGGCGGGUCAACUGCAUUUUUUUUCUGAACCAAACGACUGUCGUUUUGCUUUUUAGAAAAUAACAGUAAGAAGAUUGGAA